UACAGAGGUCCCAAGCGUUGUUCGGAUUCACUGGGCGUAAAGGGUGCGUAGGUGGUGAGGUAAGUCGGAUGUGAAAGCUCGGAGCUCAACUCCGAAAUGGCAUUGGAAACUACCUUGCUCGAGGGUUGGAGGGGGGACUGGAAUGCUCGGUGUAGCAGUGAAAUGCGUAGAUAUCAAGCGGAACACCAGUGGCGAAGGCGAGUCCCUGGACAACUCCUGACACUGAGGCACGAAAGCUAGGGGAGCAAACAGG
RNAcentral lists this ribosomal RNA (253 nucleotides) under uncultured bacterium. RNAcentral describes it as "partial 16S ribosomal RNA". It matches the Rfam family "Bacterial small subunit ribosomal RNA", at positions 524 to 776 of the family's 1533-position model. The record is from RNAcentral.